RNAcentral lists this ribosomal RNA (359 nucleotides) under uncultured soil bacterium. RNAcentral's name for it is "bacterial SSU rRNA". It matches the Rfam family "Bacterial small subunit ribosomal RNA", at positions 26 to 386 of the family's 1533-position model. The record is from RNAcentral.
AGAUUGAACGCUGGCGGCAGGCCUAACACAUGCAAGUCGAGCGGUAGAGAGGUGCUUGCACCUCUUGAGAGCGGCGGACGGGUGAGUAAUGCCUAGGAAUCUGCCUAGUGGUGGGGGAUAACGUUCGGAAACGGACGCUAAUACCGCAUACGUCCUACGGGAGAAAGCGGGGGACCUCCGGGCCUCGCGCCAUUAGAUGAGCCUAGGUCGGAUUAGCUAGUUGGUGAGGUAAUGGCUCACCAAGGCGACGAUCCGUAACUGGUCUGAGAGGAUGAUCAGUCACACUGGGACUGAGACACGGCCCAGACUCCUACGGGAGGCAGCAGUGGGGGAAUUUUGGACAAUGGGCGCAAGCCUGA